Molecule: long non-coding RNA, 700 nt
Organism: Passer domesticus (house sparrow)
Lineage: Eukaryota; Metazoa; Chordata; Aves; Passeriformes; Passeridae
Exons: 5
Source: RefSeq, a predicted model, not a curated record
AACUGUGAAACCAGGAGAGCUUUGGCAGAGUUGAGGUUUCAUGCACUGUCAUAAAUAUAGGUUUGCCUAAAGAAAACAUUCUGGCUCCAUGCUGUCACAGUUAGGUAUUCAGGUUGGCCAUUUGCAGCUUCUAUUCAAAAGAGCAAGAUGUAAACAGUGUGCUCAAAGGCACCUGACGGGGUCUCACUGACCUGUUGCUGUGCUCUGCUUUAUAUUUCCUGGCUCUAACCUGGCCAUGUAAGGGAACAAGUUUUAAGGACUCUGCAAGAGAAAGGACGCAGUUAGACAAGGUCUAGAAUUCUGACAGAUGCAACAAUGGCUACACAGUUGGAGCAACACCCAGUCUCCCUGGAUUAUUUACUGCUUCAAACAAAAUGUGACUUAUUUCUACCCACUGCUUUAAACCGUUUUGGCAGGUGCCAGGACACAACUCUCUCAAAAGAGAUUAUGCAGCUGCUAUAAAAUCUUGGAAGGAACUGGCAGAUUUGGGUAGGAAAAGAAGCUUUCUCUUAGAGGUGGGUACCUGGCAAGGUUAGAGUUAUUAGUGGAUUUGAUUGCGAAAUUUUAUGAUAGAUGUGCAGCCUACAAUUCUUGCUGUCCACAAAAAACACCAGCAGCUCAUGUGCACACACUGUAUUUACUUUAAAAUUACUAAGACUGGGAUUUUUGCACAAUGAUGAGCAAAUAAAUGAGCACAUCA